RNAcentral lists this ribosomal RNA (496 nucleotides) under uncultured bacterium. Its description in RNAcentral is "partial 16S ribosomal RNA". It matches the Rfam family "Bacterial small subunit ribosomal RNA", at positions 28 to 506 of the family's 1533-position model. The record is from RNAcentral.
GAUGAACGCUGGCGGCGUGCCUAAUACAUGCAAGUCGAGCGAACAGACGAGGAGCUUGCUCCUCUGACGUUAGCGGCGGACGGGUGAGUAACACGUGGAUAACCUACCUAUAAGACUGGGAUAACUUCGGGAAACCGGAGCUAAUACCGGAUAAUAUAUUGAACCGCAUGGUUCAAUAGUGAAAGACGGUUUUGCUGUCACUUAUAGAUGGAUCCGCGCCGCAUUAGCUAGUUGGUAAGGUAACGGCUUACCAAGGCGACGAUGCGUAGCCGACCUGAGAGGGGGAUCGGCCCAACUGGAACUGAGACCCGGUCCAAACUCCUACGGGAGGCAGCAGUGGGGAAUCUUCCGAAAUGGGCGAAAGCCUGACGGAGCAACGCCGGGGGAGUGAUGAAGGUCUUCGGAUCGUAAAACUCUGUUAUUAGGGAAAAAAAAAUGUGUAAGUAACUAUGCCCGUCUUGACGGUACCUAAACAAAAAGCCCCGGCUAACUACGU